This 253-nucleotide ribosomal RNA is filed under the name uncultured bacterium. Its description in RNAcentral is "partial 16S ribosomal RNA". It matches the Rfam family "Bacterial small subunit ribosomal RNA", at positions 524 to 776 of the family's 1533-position model. The record is from RNAcentral.
UACAGAGGUCUCAAGCGUUGUUCGGAUUCAUUGGGCGUAAAGGGUGCGUAGGUGGCUGGGUAAGUCGGAUGCGAAAUCCCGGGGCUCAACCUCGGAACUGCAUUCGAUACUGCUUUGCUUGAGUACUGGAGAGGAGAUUGGAAUUUACGGUGUAGCAGUGAAAUGCGUAGAUAUCGUAAGGAAGACCAGUGGCGAAGGCGGAUCUCUGGACAGUUACUGACACUGAGGCACGAAGGCCAGGGGAGCAAACGGG